AGAACGAACGCUGGCGGCAUGCCUAACACAUGCAAGUCGAACGAGACCUUCGGGUCUGGUGGCGCACGGGUGCGUAACGCGUGGGAAUCUGCCCUUGGGUUCGGGAUAACAGUUGGAGACGACUGCUAAUACCGGAUGAUGUCUUCGGACCAAAGAUUUAUCGCCCAAGGAUGAGCCCGCGUAGGAUUAGCUAGUUGGUGAGGUAAGAGCUCACCAAGGCGACGAUCCUUAGCUGGUCUGAGAGGAUGAUCAGCCACACUGGGACUGAGACACGGCCCAGACUCCUACGGGAGGCAGCAGUGGGGAAUAUUGGACAAUGGGCGAAAGCCUGAUCCAGCAAUGCCGCGUGAGUGAUGAAGGCCUUAGGGUUGUAAAGCUCUUUACCCGGGAUGAUAAUGACAGUACCGGAGAAUAAGCCCGGCAACUCCGCGCCAGCAGCCGC
This 442-nucleotide ribosomal RNA is filed under the name uncultured soil bacterium. Its description in RNAcentral is "bacterial SSU rRNA". It matches the Rfam family "Bacterial small subunit ribosomal RNA", at positions 26 to 518 of the family's 1533-position model. The record is from RNAcentral.